Nasonia vitripennis (jewel wasp) is the source of this 588-nucleotide long non-coding RNA. RefSeq lists it as uncharacterized. The transcript has 3 exons. The record is from RefSeq and is a predicted model, not a curated record. Lineage: Eukaryota; Metazoa; Arthropoda; Insecta; Hymenoptera; Pteromalidae.
UAUUUUAUGUAUUAAAUUUAUCUGGAAUAUACUUUUAUAGUUAUUCACACAAAUUUAUUACAGUAUCAGAAGCAUAAGAAAUGUUCGGAAUACGGCGUACGUUGAGUAUAUAAAAAAAUUUUCUCUUGUUUAUAAGUGCGUCUGCGCAUGCGCGAAAAAUGGAUAAAUAGCGUGAAAUAUUGCUUCCUGUGCUCAUUCUGCUGUGACCUCUAGAGGCGGCCACAUGGUAUCAGAAGUAAACUAGAGAUUCAGAAUACUGUGCAAGUUGAGUUUAUAAAAGAAUUUUCUCUGGUUUAUAAGUGUCGUCCCCUCAUGCGCAAAAAAUGGAUAAAUAGCGUCAAAUAUUGCCUCCUGUUCUCCUUCUGCUGUGACCUCUAGAGGCGGCCACAUCGUAUCAGAAGCAUAAUAAAUGUUCAGAAUACUGUGCAAGUUGAGUUUAUAAAAAAAUUUUCUCUGGUUUCUAAGUGUCGUCUGCGCAUGCAAGAAGAAAAUGUAUGAAGAGUAUGUAAUAUUGGUUCCUGCGCUCAUUCUGAAUUGACCUCUGGAAGCGGUCAAAUCUGUAAACCCAAUUAUUUUAAAUAUUAAAUU